Non-coding RNA from Vicia faba (fava bean), 213 nucleotides. The record is from the annotation of a GenBank genome assembly. Lineage: Eukaryota; Viridiplantae; Streptophyta; Magnoliopsida; Fabales; Fabaceae.
AUGGGAGAGAGAAACCGUAAAUCAUCAAGUUCAACUAAAAAGGCACCAACCGACGUAACACUUGAACAACCUGUCUGUCUCCGUCUCCGUUUCAACACGCGCCGUCUUCACCUCUCCCCUUGUUCUUAUGUGUUGCGGCCCCUUAGGUACUCUAUCAAUUUAGUUGGUACUCCACAUACACUACUAGGACAGUUGAACUCUUUUGAUUCCUGA